GAAAAGAAACCAACAGGGAUUGCCUCAGUAACGGCGAGUGAAGCGGCAAAAGCUCAAAUUUUAAAGCUGGCACCUCCGGUGUCCGCGUUGUAAUUUUGUGAGGCAUCUCCGGGUGGGGCGCCGGCCUAAGUUCCUUGGAACAGGACGUCAUAGAGGGUGAGAAUCCCGUGCUUGGCUGGCUGUCCCCGUCCAUGUGAGGUGUCUUCGACGAGUCGAGUUGUUUGGGAAUGCAGCUCAAAAUGGGUGGUAAAUUUCAUCUAAAGCUAAAUAUUGGUGGGAGACCGAUAGCGCACAAGUAGAGUGAUCGAAAGAUGAAAAGCACUUUGAAAAUAGAGUUAAAAAGUACGUGAAAUUGUUGAAAGGGAAGCGCUUGAGACCAGACUUCGGUGGGGAGUGAUCAGCCGUCCUUCUGGGCGGUGCACUUGCCCCCCUCCGGGCCAGCAUCGGUUGGGACGGCGGGAUAAAGGUCCCGGGAAUGUGGCUCCUCUCGGGGAGUGUUAUAGCCCGGGUGAAUGCCGCCAGCCCCGACCGAGGACCGCGCCUUCGGGCUAGGAUGCUUGGCAUAAUGGUCUUCAGCGACCC
This 582-nucleotide ribosomal RNA is filed under the name Morchella americana. RNAcentral's name for it is "eukaryotic LSU rRNA". It matches the Rfam family "Eukaryotic large subunit ribosomal RNA", at positions 56 to 650 of the family's 3401-position model. The record is from RNAcentral. Lineage: Eukaryota; Fungi; Ascomycota; Pezizomycetes; Pezizales; Morchellaceae.